Aegilops tauschii subsp. strangulata is the source of this 543-nucleotide long non-coding RNA. RefSeq lists it as uncharacterized. The record is from RefSeq and is a predicted model, not a curated record. NCBI's taxonomy places the organism in Eukaryota, Viridiplantae, Streptophyta, Magnoliopsida, Poales, Poaceae.
ACAACAAGAAAGCUAGCUACUCAAGUACUCCUAAUGGCGCUUAUCAAGCACAUCGGGCAGGCUAUGUGUCUGCUGGCUCUUGUUGUCAUGUCUACCAGUUCCCUGCCCUCUCUUGUAGAAGGAUCAUGGUAUUGUGAUCCCAUGCGUGCAGAUACGAAGGGCGAGAUGCCCGACAAGUUGUGUUUUGUUAUGAAACGCUGCACACUCAGUCUAUGCCAGAAACUAUGUUUAGCACAUGGAUAUGAUAAGGGUCAAAGCGACUGCAUAUCUUUCACAAAAAAACAGUGUUGCUGCUUCGCGAAGGGAAUGCCGCCAUUAACAUGAUGGAUAACAUACACACCAUCCCCUGGGAAUGUCAAAUAAGACUAUUCGACUUUAUUGAUGAAGAAGAUUCAAUAAAAUUUAAACUUUAUCUAGUAAUUAUUGGUUAAUGUAUAACUGCCAAGUGUGAGCAAGUGAAUCGUUGUGUGUGGAGUGGAAUCGUUCAUGUAUCUUUGCACAUGGUCUCAUUCUUCGAUAAAGAGCUCUUUUAUUAACUUAAAA